Molecule: ribosomal RNA, 115 nt
Filed under: Acanthosepion pharaonis
Lineage: Eukaryota; Metazoa; Mollusca; Cephalopoda; Sepiida; Sepiidae
Source: RNAcentral
UUACGGCCACAUCACAUUGAAAACACUGGUUUCCAUACAAUCACCAAAGUUAAGCAACGUCAAGCCUGGCCAGUACCUAGAUGGGUAACUGCUUGAGAAUACCAGGUGCUGCAAG